Nylanderia fulva is the source of this 849-nucleotide non-coding RNA. The record is from RefSeq and is a predicted model, not a curated record. Lineage: Eukaryota; Metazoa; Arthropoda; Insecta; Hymenoptera; Formicidae.
UUCCCUCACUCACACGUGUUACACACGUCCUCCUCUACGAGACGACAAUUCACACCGGUCAUCAUUGUGGGCUACGCACACCGACAUAUCGUCUCGAGUGGAUCGUCUCUAGUGCUCCGUGCAUCGCACCACGCGCGGCUAGUUUGCCUCACGCACUCACAGUGCGUGCGACUGUUUUGUCACGCGUGCGGCCGACACGCGUGUGUGCACGUUAUACGUCGUCGUCGUCGUAUUCGUCAGCUUACCUAAGUUUAUUGUUAGAGAGACCGCGUACCACACUGUAGACGGAGCUUGAGGAGAUUUAGUGCGUCUCGCAUGCUGCUCUGAGUAUCACAUGUGCCGGCUCCGAUCUAUCUCGAUCGUUCUUCGGUGUUACGUGGAUGAAAGACAUCUUAGUGAUAAUGCGUGGAAAUGUGUGUUAAUUUAGUACGAGUUUAGCUUAAUUUAAAUAUUUGAGAAAAAUAUCCUGCGACUGCAACAUAAUGGAAAAAUAGAGAAGAAUUUAUUAAAAAUUAUAUAUACAAUACAUUUUUGUAUAAUCUAAACAUAAUUACAUAUGGAACAAAGUGACUUGCAUAUGAAAUAAAUGUCUUCUUUGUCGAGAAAAAAUUUUGCUAAUAUAUAACUAGAUUUAUAUUUUUACUAAAUGAGAGAAUUAGUUUUUGUGAUAUAAUUUUGAUUGUGCCAAAAGAGUUCAGUGGAUUCAUCUACGAGCAUAAUUUUUCCGUAUAAAACGAAAUAAAAGUGCUUCAAUAACAAACUCUUAUGAGAAAAAAAAAGAUCACGUUGCGUGCAUCGUUCGUAAACUCAUCAUGUGUACAAUGCAACUAUUCGCCAUGCCUGAUACAA